GGGGCCCGCACAAGCGGUGGAGCAUGUGGUUUAAUUCGAAGCAACGCGAAGAACCUUACCAGGUCUUGACAUCCUCUGAAAACCCUAGAGAUAGGGCUUCUCCUUCGGGAGCAGAGUGACAGGUGGUGCAUGGUUGUCGUCAGCUCGUGUCGUGAGAUGUUGGGUUAAGUCCCGCAACGAGCGCAACCCUUGAUCUUAGUUGCCAUCAUUAAGUUGGGCACUCUAAGGUGACUGCCGGUGACAAANCCGGAGGAAGGUGGGGAUGACGUCAAAUCAUCAUGCCCCUUAUGACCUGGGCUACACACGUGCUACAAUGGACGGUACAAAGAGCUGCAAGACCGCGAGGUGGAGCUAAUCUCAUAAAACCGUUCUCAGUUCGGAUUGUAGGCUGCAACUCGCCUACAUGAAG
RNAcentral lists this ribosomal RNA (409 nucleotides) under Bacillus sp. RBS-46. RNAcentral's name for it is "bacterial SSU rRNA". It matches the Rfam family "Bacterial small subunit ribosomal RNA", at positions 916 to 1325 of the family's 1533-position model. The record is from RNAcentral. Lineage: Bacteria; Bacillati; Bacillota; Bacilli; Caryophanales; Bacillaceae.